Molecule: ribosomal RNA, 497 nt
Filed under: uncultured bacterium
Lineage: Bacteria
Description: partial 16S ribosomal RNA
Rfam family: Bacterial small subunit ribosomal RNA
Source: RNAcentral
GAUGAACGCUGGCGGCGUGCCUAAUACAUGCAAGUCGAGCGAACGGACGAGAAGCUUGCUUCUCUGAUGUGAGCGGCGGGCGGGAGAGUAACACGUGGAUAACCUACCUAUAAGACUGGGAUAACUUCGGGAAACCGUAGCUAAUACCGGAUAAUAUUUUGAACCGCAUGGGUCAAAAGUGAAAGACGGUCUUGCUGUAACGUAUAGAUGGAUCCGCGCUGCAUUAGCUAGUUGGUAAGGUAAAGGCUUACCAAGGCAAGGAUGCAUAGCCGACCUGAGAGGGUGAUCGGCCACACUGGAACUGAGACACGGUCCAUAGUCCUACGGGAGGCAGCAGUAGGGAAUCUUCCGCAAUGGGCGGAAGCCUGACGGAGCAACGCCGCGUGAGGGAUGAAGGUCUUCGGAUCGUAAAACUCUGUUAUUAGGGAAGAACAUAUGUGUAAGUAACUGUGCACAUCUUGACGGUACCUAAUCAGAAAGCCACGGCUAACUACGUG